AGUGAACGCUGGCGGUAUGCCUAAUACAUGCAAGUCGAACGACCACACAGUAAGCUUUCUCCUCUACGGUUGGCGACUGGCGGGUGGGUGACACAUACAUCACCUACCUCUUUUACUGGGGUGACUUCGUGGGGCCACUGCUGCUACCGCCUAAUAUAUCAUACCGCAUAGAGCAGGGGUUCUUGGCACUUUUCCUGUCUCAUAUAGCCGAAUUCGCAUUAGCUAGUUGGCGGGGUAAAGGCCCACCAAGGCGACGAUCCGUAGCUGGUCUGAGAGGAUGAUCGGCCACACUGGAACUGAGACACGGUCCAGACUCCUACGGGAGGCAGCAGUGGGGAAUAUUGGACAAUGGGCGAAAGCCUGAUCCAGCCAUACCGCGUGGGUGAAGAAGGCCUUCGGGUUGUAAAGCCCUUUUGUUGGGAAAGAAAAGCAGCAGGUUAAUACCCCGCUGUUCUGACGGUACCCAAAGAAUAAGCACCGGCUAACUUCGUG
This 492-nucleotide ribosomal RNA is filed under the name uncultured bacterium. Its description in RNAcentral is "partial 16S ribosomal RNA". It matches the Rfam family "Bacterial small subunit ribosomal RNA", at positions 29 to 507 of the family's 1533-position model. The record is from RNAcentral.